GACUUGGUGGUGUAAUGGUAACACUCUUGCUCAACAUAGCUGUUGGGGAAAAAUGUUUGUGCAAGAGAUCCCUGUUCGACUCGGGGUUGGGUCA
Molecule: non-coding RNA, 94 nt
Organism: Mycena rebaudengoi
Lineage: Eukaryota; Fungi; Basidiomycota; Agaricomycetes; Agaricales; Mycenaceae
Source: the annotation of a GenBank genome assembly